UCGGAGAAAGACAUGUGCACCCAAAUCUGAAAUUGACAUGUACUUUGAAGAAGACUGUGUUGAGGAUAUUGAAAAUUUUGACAUUUUGGCUUGGUGGAAGCCACAUGCUGAGAAAUCCCCAGUCUUGUCAACCAUGGCACAUGAUUUUCUUGCAAUACCUCUUAGUACUGUGCCCUCCGAAUCAGUCUUUAGCCUUGGGAGCAGGAUUCUUGGGGAGUCCAGAAGCUCACUAACUCCUGAAAUGUUAGAAGCUCUAGUAUGUGGAAAAGAUUGGUUAUUCAAGGAAAAAGAAGCAGACGAUGAAGGUAGAGAGAAAGGUAGACAGCCUUUAGACGAUCUUUGUGAAGAUCAGCCAACUUCUACCUUGGUCGUUCCAUCAGAUACAAGUAUAUCAUUUGGAGGUCAAGAUGUUGCACUCUUGUGAAGUUCAGUGCUCAUUUUGUUCAGCUUGACAUCAGCAAUGGAUGAAGUUCUCUUGUUCUAAUUGUUGGAUGCUUCAUCAUCGUACAAGCUCUGAUUGUAUAAUAAUCCUUGCUGUCGCCAGUUUCAGAUUCUCGUCAACUCAUGACCUAGUGGCCCUCUAUUUUAACGUAGCUAAUGGAACAUUUAAGCAUCUGUAUGGAUGGUGUUUGAUUGUAUAAUAAUCACUGCAGCUGCAAGUUACGUCAGUUAAUGGCAGAAGUUAAUGGCAGGGCGAGCUAUCAUUGC
Panicum virgatum (switchgrass) is the source of this 708-nucleotide long non-coding RNA. RefSeq lists it as uncharacterized. NCBI's taxonomy places the organism in Eukaryota, Viridiplantae, Streptophyta, Magnoliopsida, Poales, Poaceae. The transcript is spliced from 3 exons. The record is from RefSeq and is a predicted model, not a curated record.